This 1056-nucleotide ribosomal RNA is filed under the name Compositrema isidiofarinosum. RNAcentral describes it as "eukaryotic LSU rRNA". It matches the Rfam family "Eukaryotic large subunit ribosomal RNA", at positions 116 to 1128 of the family's 3401-position model. Lineage: Eukaryota; Fungi; Ascomycota; Lecanoromycetes; Ostropales; Graphidaceae. The record is from RNAcentral.
GUACCCCGAUACUGACUCUGGGUCGAGUUGUNAUUUGUAGAAGGUGCUUCGGGCGCGACUCCUGUCCAAGUUUCCUGGAAUGGGGUGGCACAGAGGGUGAGAAUCCCGUACGUGGCCGGCAGUCAAGUAUUUGUGAAGCCCUUUCGACGAGUCGAGUUGUUUGGGAAUGCAGCUCUAAAUGGGUGGUAAAUUUCAUCUAAAGCUAAAUAUCUGUCGGAGACCGAUAGCGCACAAGUAGAGUGAUCGAAAGAUGAAAAGCACUUUGAAAAGAGAGUCAAACAGUACGUGAAAUUGUUGAAAGGGAAGCGCUUGCAACCAGACUCGCUUGCGGUCGUUCAGCCAUCCCUCGGGAUGGUGUACUCGUCCGCAGCCGGGCCAGCAUCGGCUUUGGCGGCUGGACAAAGGCUUCGGGAACGUAGCUCCCUCCGGGGUGUGUUACAGCCCGUUGUGCAAUGCAGUCAGCCGAGACCGAGGAUCGCGCAAUGCUAGGAUGCAGGCGUAAUGGUUGCCAGCGACCCGUCUUGAAACACGGACCGAGGAGUCGACCAAUUACGCGAGUUUUAGGGCGUAAAACCCUGAAGCGCAAUGAAAGUGAACGGAGGUGGGAGCCUUCGGGUGCACCAUCGACCGAUCCGGAAGUUUACGGAUGGAUUUGAGUAUGAGCAUAAUUGGUCGGACCCGAAAGGUAUGUCUAUUCUUCAUUUUAUGAGUUUAAGUUUUUGGCUGGACUUUUUGCUAACAUACUCGAUAGAUGGUGAACUAUGCCUAAAUAGGGUGAAGCCAGAGGAAACUCUGGUGGAGGCUCGCAGCGGUUCUGACGUGCAAAUCGAUCGUCAAAUUUGGGUAUAGGGGCGAAAGACUAAUCGAACCAUCUAGUAGCUGGUUCCUGUCGAAGUUUCCCUCAGGAUAGCAGCAACGGAAACAGUCUCAUGAGGUAGAGCGAACGAUUAGAGGCCUUGGGGUUGAAACAACCUUAACCUAUUCUCGAACUUCGAAUAUGUGAGAAGUCCUUGUUACUUAGUUGAACGUGGACAUUCGGAUGGUCGGUAGUCCCCG